CCUACGGGGGGCAGCAGUAAGGAAUAUUGGUCAAUGGGCGGAAGCCUGAACCAGCCAAGUAGCGUGCAGGAUGACGGCCCUACGGGUUGUAAACUGCUUUUAUACGGGAAUAACGCGCCUUACGUGUAGGGCUUUGCAUGUACCGUAUGAAUAAGGACCGGCUAAUUCCGUGCCAGCAGCCGCGGUAAUACGGAAGGUCCGGGCGUUAUCCGGAUUUAUGGGGGUUAAAGGGAGCGUAGGCCGCAUGUCAAGCGUGCGGGGAAAGGUCCGGGCUCAACCCGGGCCUUGCAGCGCGAACUGGCGUGCUUGAGUCCGCGGCACGCAGGCGGACUUCGUCGUGUAGCGGU
Molecule: ribosomal RNA, 347 nt
Filed under: uncultured bacterium
Lineage: Bacteria
Description: partial 16S ribosomal RNA
Rfam family: Bacterial small subunit ribosomal RNA
Source: RNAcentral